UCUUCAGGUCCUCAGUCAUGGACAGAACCAUGCUGCUGCUCAUGUUGUGUCUGCAGGUUUUCCUGCUCAUCGCAACCUUCUCUUCUACUGAUGCAGCCGCACUGAGGACAGAUGAGCAACUAUCCCCUGAUGAGAGUAGACAAAGACUUCCACGAUAUGCAUCAAACUGCCGGUGGAGGACAGGUGCAUGUGGUUCCUUUGCUAAGGGGAACAGUGGGACACUAGAAGAACCACAAACUACAAAGAGUCCAAUUGAAACAAACUUUGAAGUGUUGGUGUCAGUAAAACAGAAACCCAACUGAGUGUCAGUGAUCAGCAGAUAUUCUUACAAGGAAGAUAUGAGGCACUGGAGGCAGAACGUGAAGCCCUGCACUGAUUACAUCCUCUCCUUGAGAAAGGGGAAAUCCUUGCAAAUGUGCUUCCGCUCUUCACAGCUACACUAAGGGUCACUACACCAGGACGAAGCAACUGCCCACAGCGCCAAAACAUCUACCAAAUGUUUUGCUGACCACAUUAUAACUGUGAUUGAUUGGCCCUGACCCAGAUGGUGGGGUAUUGUCAAUUUAAAAUAAAAAAGG
Long non-coding RNA from Notolabrus celidotus (New Zealand spotty), 578 nucleotides. RefSeq lists it as uncharacterized. The record is from RefSeq and is a predicted model, not a curated record. The transcript is spliced from 5 exons. NCBI's taxonomy places the organism in Eukaryota, Metazoa, Chordata, Actinopteri, Labriformes, Labridae.